UACGGAGGGUGCGAGCGUUGUCCGGAAUCAUUGGGCGUAAAGGGCGCGUAGGCGGCCCUCUAAGUCAGACGUGAAAUCCCCCGGCUUAACCUGGGAACUGCGUCUGAUACUGGAGGGCUUGAGUAUGGGAGAGGGAUGUAGAAUUCCAGGUGUAGCGGUGAAAUGCGUAGAUAUCUGGAGGAACAUCGGUGGCGAAGGCGGCAUCCUGGACCGGUAUUGACGCUGAGGCGCGAAAGCCAGGGGAGCAAACGGG
RNAcentral lists this ribosomal RNA (253 nucleotides) under uncultured bacterium. Its description in RNAcentral is "partial 16S ribosomal RNA". It matches the Rfam family "Bacterial small subunit ribosomal RNA", at positions 524 to 776 of the family's 1533-position model. The record is from RNAcentral.